GACGGUAACAGCCCGGUAGUUGAAAUGGCUUUCCCUCCAGAGUGGAUCCUGAGUACGGCGGAACAAGUGAAAUUCCGUCGGAAUCCGGGAGGACCCUCGCCCAAGGCUAAAUACUCCCAAGUGACCGAUAGUGAACCAGUACCGUGAGGGAAAGGUGAAAAGCACCCCGGGAGGGGAGUGAAACAGUUCCUGAAACCGUGUGCCUACAAGUAGUUAGAGCCCGUUAAUGGGGGAUAGCGUGCCUUUUGGAGAAUGAAACGGCGAGUUACGAUUUGUUGCAAGGGUAAGCGGCAAAAACGGAACCGGAGCGAAAACGAGUCUGAAUCGGGCGCAUAAGAAACAGGCCGUAGACCCGAAACCA
RNAcentral lists this ribosomal RNA (361 nucleotides) under Listeria monocytogenes. RNAcentral's name for it is "bacterial LSU rRNA". It matches the Rfam family "Bacterial large subunit ribosomal RNA", at positions 360 to 723 of the family's 2925-position model. The record is from RNAcentral. Lineage: Bacteria; Bacillati; Bacillota; Bacilli; Caryophanales; Listeriaceae.